This 72-nucleotide transfer RNA is filed under the name Elusimicrobiota bacterium. Its description in RNAcentral is "Elusimicrobia bacterium (groundwater metagenome) tRNA-Pro". It matches the Rfam family "tRNA". From Rfam's summary of the family: Transfer RNA (tRNA) molecules are approximately 80 nucleotides in length. Lineage: Bacteria; Pseudomonadati; Elusimicrobiota. The record is from RNAcentral.
CGGGGGUUGGCGUAGUGGUAGCGCGCUCGCUUGGGGUGCGAGAGGUCGUGGGUUCAAUUCCCACACCCCCGA